Notechis scutatus (mainland tiger snake) is the source of this 711-nucleotide non-coding RNA. NCBI's taxonomy places the organism in Eukaryota, Metazoa, Chordata, Lepidosauria, Squamata, Elapidae. The record is from RefSeq and is a predicted model, not a curated record.
AUGCAACAUUUCAAUGGUGUACAUUUUCAUUUUCUCUCUUUCUUCUUCUCUGUUUGGGGAGAUAACUAUUUCUGGAUCUCUUUGUCUCUUUGUAGGAGGAAAGGAACCAAGCCAGGACGAUUCCCCUUCAAAUCUGAUUGAAGAUGUCAAGACAAUACUAUGGAAACUGGAAGCUGCAGAUAAGCUCCGGACUCAAGCUUUUGUCAAAGCAGAUCAGUCUCCUCAGAAACCAAACAAGAGAGCUUGUUUCUGGAAGUACUGUGUCACCAACUGAACUUGGGAAAUAGCUGUGCCUUGUCUGCUCAAACUGCAAUUUCCAGCCCUCCCCCCAAAGAGAACAUCUUCAGAUCAAGCGUUCCAGAACGUGGGCUUUCACUUUUGCAGCCACUCAUCACUUCCCCAUCUAAUCUAGAUGAGCAAUGUCAUGUGGGUCAAGAUUAAAUAUUUUGCAUUGCACUAUAAAUAAAACACUUCUGAUCUCUGUGAGUUUCAGUUUGCUUCCUGUUUCUCCAGCAAUGUUUUAGUUUUACCGGGUAGGGUUGCUAUCCCUAUGCCCAACCCCCUCCCCGCAAAUAAUUUAUCCAGACUUGGGAUCGGCUGGGUUAUCUCAAAACAGAGUUGGCCCAGGCGAAGCUCUUAUGUUAAUGAAGUUUAAAUUAAGUUAUAGAAUAGAAUAGAAUUCUUUAUUGGCCAAGUGUAAUUGGACACACA